AGCUUUUCAGAGGAAUUUGCUCUUUAAUGGAUAAAACACCUUAACCUUACUUGGUCUAGUAAAAUUCAGUUUGUAUACCACUAUAAAAAUAAUAAUUUACUUUUAUUAUUAAAAUUCUUUUUUUAGAUAAAAAUUAAGUCAAGGUGCAGCUUAAGGCUAAGAAUGAAGUGAAUUACAUUUCUUAAAAGAAAAGAAAAGUGAAACAAAAUAUUAGGAUUUGAUAGUAAAAUUAAAAUAAAAAGUUAAUUUGAAUUAAGCUCUAAGAUA
This 267-nucleotide ribosomal RNA is filed under the name Hyalomma asiaticum. RNAcentral describes it as "partial small subunit ribosomal RNA". Lineage: Eukaryota; Metazoa; Arthropoda; Arachnida; Ixodida; Ixodidae. The record is from RNAcentral.